Molecule: ribosomal RNA, 657 nt
Filed under: uncultured Bacteroides sp.
Lineage: Bacteria; Pseudomonadati; Bacteroidota; Bacteroidia; Bacteroidales; Bacteroidaceae
Description: bacterial SSU rRNA
Rfam family: Bacterial small subunit ribosomal RNA
Source: RNAcentral
AGGGGCAGCAUUGGAGUAGCAUACUUCAGAUGGCGACCGGCGCACGGGUGAGUAACACGUAUCCAACCUUCCGCUUACUCGGGGAUAGCCUUUCGAAAGAAAGAUUAAUACCCGAUGGUAUAAAGAGUUCGCAUGUUCUCUUUAUUAAAGAAUUUCGGUAAGCGAUGGGGAUGCGUUCCAUUAGAUUGUUGGCGGGGUAACGGCCCACCAAGUCUACGAUGGAUAGGGGUUCUGAGAGGAAGGUCCCCCACAUUGGAACUGAGACACGGUCCAAACUCCUACGGGAGGCAGCAGUGAGGAAUAUUGGUCAAUGGACGAGAGUCUGAACCAGCCAAGUAGCGUGAAGGAUGACUGCCCUAUGGGUUGUAAACUUCUUUUAUAAGGGAAUAAAGUGAGGGACGUGUCCCUUUUUGUAUGUACCUUAUGAAUAAGGAUCGGCUAACUCCGUGCCAGCAGCCGCGGUAAUACGGAGGAUCCAAGCGUUAUCCGGAUUUAUUGGGUUUAAAGGGAGCGUAGGUUGACAUAUAAGUCAGCUGUGAAAGUUUACGGCUCAACCGUGAAAUUGCAGUUGAUACUGUAUGUCUUGAGUGUACAAGAGGUGGGCGGAAUUCGUGGUGUAGCGGUGAAAUGCUUAGAUAUCACGAAGAACUCCGAUUG